GAUGAGUAGGGCGGGACACGUGGUAUCCUGUCUGAAUAUGGGGGGCCCAUCCUCCAAGGCUAAAUACUCCUGACUGACCGAUAGUGAACCAGUACCGUGAGGGAAAGGCGAAAAGAACCCCGGCGAGGGGAGUGAAAAAGAACCUGAAACCGUGUACGUACAAGCAGUGGGAGCACGCUUAGGCGUGUGACUGCGUACCUUUUGUAUAAUGGGUCAGCGACUUAUAUUCUGUAGCAAGGUUAACCGAAUAGGGGAGCCGAAGGGAAACCGAGUCUUAACUGGGCGUUAAGUUGCAGGGUAUAGACCCGAAACCCGGUGAUCUAGCCAUGGGCAGGUUGAAGGUUGGGUAACACUAACUGGAGGACCGAACCGACUAAUGUUGAAAAAUUAGCGGAUGACUUGUGGCUGGGGGUGAAAGGCCAAUCAAACCGGGAGAUAGCUGGUUCUCCCCGAAAGCUAUUUAGGUAGCGCCUCGUGAAUUCAUCUCCGGGGGUAGAGCACUGUUUCGGCAAGGGGGUCAUCCCGACUUACCAACCCGAUGCAAACUGCGAAUACCGGAGAAUGUUAUCACGGGAGACACACGGCGGGUGCUAACGUCCGUCGUGAAGAGGGAAACAACCCAGACCGCCAGCUAAGGUCCCAAAGUCAUGGUUAAGUGGGAAACGAUGUGGGAAGGCCCAGACAGCCAGGAUGUUGGCUUAGAAGCAGCCAUCAUUUAAAGAAAGCGUAAUAGCUCACUGGUCGAGUCGGCCUGCGCGGAAGAUGUAACGGGGCUAAACCAUGCACCGAAGCUGCGGCAGCGACGCUUAUGCGUUGUUGGGUAGGGGAGCGUUCUGUAAGCCUGCGAAGGUGUGCUGUGAGGCAUGCUGGAGGUAUCAGAAGUGCGAAUGCUGACAUAAGUAACGAUAAAGCGGGUGAAAAGCCCGCUCGCCGGAAGACCAAGGGUUCCUGUCCAACGUUAAUCGGGGCAGGGUGAGUCGACCCCUAAGGCGAGGCCGAAAGGCGUAGUCGAUGGGAAACAGGUUAAUAUUCCUGUACUUGGUGUUACUGCGAAGGGGGGACGGAGAAGGCUAUGUUGGCCGGGCGACGGUUGUCCCGGUUUAAGCGUGUAGGCUGGUUUUCCAGGCAAAUCCGGAAAAUCAAGGCUGAGGCGUGAUGACGAGGCACUACGGUGCUGAAGCAACAAAUGCCCUGCUUCCAGGAAAAGCCUCUAAGCAUCAGGUAACAUCAAAUCGUACCCCAAACCGACACAGGUGGUCAGGUAGAGAAUACCAAGGCGCUUGAGAGAACUCGGGUGAAGGAACUAGGCAAAAUGGUGCCGUAACUUCGGGAGAAGGCACGCUGAUAUGUAGGUGAAGUCCCUUGCGGAUGGAGCUGAAAUCAGUCGAAGAUACCAGCUGGCUGCAACUGUUUAUUAAAAACACAGCACUGUGCAAACACGAAAGUGGACGUAUACGGUGUGACGCCUGCCCGGUGCCGGAAGGUUAAUUGAUGGGGUCAGCGCAAGCGAAGCUCUUGAUCGAAGCCCCGGUAAACGGCGGCCGUAACUAUAACGGUCCUAAGGUAGCGAAAUUCCUUGUCGGGUAAGUUCCGACCUGCACGAAUGGCGUAAUGAUGGCCAGGCUGUCUCCACCCGAGACUCAGUGAAAUUGAACUCGCUGUGAAGAUGCAGUGUACCCGCGGCAAGACGGAAAGACCCCGUGAACCUUUACUAUAGCUUGACACUGAACAUUGAGCCUUGAUGUGUAGGAUAGGUGGGAGGCUUUGAAGUGUGGACGCCAGUCUGCAUGGAGCCGGCCUUGAAAUACCACCCUUUAAUGUUUGAUGUUCUAACGUGGACCCGUGAUCCGGGUUGCGGACAGUGUCUGGUGGGUAGUUUGACUGGGGCGGUCUCCUCCUAAAGAGUAACGGAGGAGCACGAAGGUUGGCUAAUCCUGGUCGGACAUCAGGAGGUUAGUGCAAUGGCAUAAGCCAGCUUGACUGCGAGCGUGACGGCGCGAGCAGGUGCGAAAGCAGGUCAUAGUGAUCCGGUGGUUCUGAAUGGAAGGGCCAUCGCUCAACGGAUAAAAGGUACUCCGGGGAUAACAGGCUGAUACCGCCCAAGAGUUCAUAUCGACGGCGGUGUUUGGCACCUCGAUGUCGGCUCAUCACAUCCUGGGGCUGAAGUAGGUCCCAAGGGUAUGGCUGUUCGCCAUUUAAAGUGGUACGCGAGCUGGGUUUAGAACGUCGUGAGACAGUUCGGUCCCUAUCUGCCGUGGGCGCUGGAGAACUGAGGGGGGCUGCUCCUAGUACGAGAGGACCGGAGUGGACGCAUCACUGGUGUUCGGGUUGUCAUGCCAAUGGCACUGCCCGGUAGCUAAAUGCGGAAGAGAUAAGUGCUGAAAGCAUCUAAGCACGAAACUUGCCCCGAGAUGAGUUCUCCCUGACCCUUUAAGGGUCCUGAAGGAACGUUGAAGACGACGACGUUGAUAGGCCGGGUGUGUAAGCGCAGCGAUGCGUUGAGCUAACCGGUACUAAUGAACCGUGAGGCUUAACCUU
RNAcentral lists this ribosomal RNA (2538 nucleotides) under Shigella sonnei. RNAcentral describes it as "bacterial LSU rRNA". It matches the Rfam family "Bacterial large subunit ribosomal RNA", at positions 407 to 2925 of the family's 2925-position model. The record is from RNAcentral. Lineage: Bacteria; Pseudomonadati; Pseudomonadota; Gammaproteobacteria; Enterobacterales; Enterobacteriaceae.